This 497-nucleotide ribosomal RNA is filed under the name uncultured bacterium. RNAcentral's name for it is "partial 16S ribosomal RNA". It matches the Rfam family "Bacterial small subunit ribosomal RNA", at positions 28 to 507 of the family's 1533-position model. The record is from RNAcentral.
GAUGAACGCUGGCGGCGUGCCUAAUACAUGCAAGUCGAGCGAACGGACGAGAAGCUUGCUUCUCUGAUGUUAGCGGCGGACGGGUGAGUAACACGUGGAUAACCUACCUAUAAGACUGGGAUAACUUCGGGAAACCGGAGCUAAUACCGGAUAAUAUUUUGAACCGCAUGGUUCAAAAGUGAAAGACGGUCUUGCUGUCACUUAUAGAUGGAUCCGCGCUGCAUUAGCUAGUUGGUAAGGUAACGGCUUACCAAGGCAACGAUGCAUAGCCGACCUGAGAGGGUGAUCGGCCACACUGGAGCUGAGACACGGUCCAGACUCCUACGGGAGGCAGCAGUAGGGAAUCUUACGCAAUGGGCGAAAGCCUGACGGAGCAACGCCGCGUGAGUGAUGAAGGUCUUCGGAUCGUAAAACUCUGUUAUUAGGGAAGAACAUAUGUGUAAGUAACUGUGCACAUCUUGACGGUACCUAAUCAGAAAGCCACGGCUAGCUACGUG